RNAcentral lists this long non-coding RNA (4530 nucleotides) under Canis lupus familiaris (dog). RNAcentral's name for it is "lncRNA (ENSCAFG00000056170.1)". Lineage: Eukaryota; Metazoa; Chordata; Mammalia; Carnivora; Canidae. The record is from RNAcentral.
CCGUUUAAAAUAUAUUUUAUUUGAUUCUUGGUAUGGUAUUAUGGAUUUAUUUCACAAAAGCAAGGAAGUCUUAAUUAAGCCUUUAACCGACCUGGCUUUGUCCUGUGACUGAGAGAUCUCACCAGAUGAGAUUAAUGAAGGAAAUUUCCAAUUCUACCAUUGUCUUCAAUAAAAGUGUACAUUGUCUUCAAUAAAAGUGUAGUAUCAUUCAUAGAUGGUAUUAGGCUGGAAAAAGGUUAAUGUUCAUUUCUGACGUGUUGUUACUCUGGAUCUAGAGACAAAAGUACUAGAAAGAAUCUGGAACAGAGCUUGGAUUGUUUUAUUAUGGAUUAGGUUUUAUUAACCUUAAGACAGGAGGAUUAGAUCAACAUUUAGACUGUCAAAAGUUGAUGAAUAAAAGCUUUUAAUUAUGUGAAACGAAAGAAAAGUUAAAAAAAACAGCUUAAUGUAUUAUUUGAUGAACUACAUACGGAUAUCUCUGGUUUAUAAUCAUUUUCUUGAGGGGGGAAUGUAACCAUAGUCCUGAGGUAGUUUUAAAACCAAAGGCUUAAUAUCUGUUGUUAUAUAUGACAAAAACUGGUUAAUUAACAUGACAUUUAUCUUGUACACAUUAAGACUGCAGAAGAAAUUCUCAUACAAAGCAGUGAUCAAUUUGCUGCUUAACAAAACUUGUAUUUAAUCCCUUGUUUACUCCAAUAACUUAGCCAAGGCUGUGUUUUAAUCAGACUGUGAAGUGAGAAUUACAAAUCAACUGAAGAAUGUAACAUCAUUUUUUAUUUGAUUUAAACCCAUUUUCAUAUACAAAGCUAAUGUAUUAUGUACAAAAUAAAUGUACAUUCUUAAAAACUGUUAGAAUACAAAUUUCCAAAGGACUAAAAAAAGUGCAAAAUUCUCAAUUAUCUUCAAUCAUGCUAUACAGAAAUCAAAUAUUUGCUCAUAUACACACACUGAAAAAUUUUUAAACACUCAAUGUAACAAAACAAAACGUACAUCUUACACAUUUAAUCUUAAAAGGAUGAAGAAGAGUGUAUUGCACCAAAUUAACAGUAACUUCAUCAUAACGAGAAGACUAAUCAAAAUUAUUUACACAUCUUUGUUAAAUCUAAAAUUUUCUCAACUUUAAGACCAUUUUUUGGCAUACAAAUAUUGAGUCACAGUUUGCACAGUCAAUAAUUAGAUAUAAAUAAGGCUUAAUAUUCUUUUUCAUGGUCAAUUCCAGUAGAAUAAAUGAGAAGGAACAUUUUAUGAUAACUAUACAACUUUUUGAAUUCCUUAAAUAUUUAAGUAGCAGCACAAUUUGCAAGUAUUUUUUUAAACAAUUCCAAAUUUUCAGCCAUCCUUCUCUUUGUGCAUUUUCAUGCAUUCAAGUCAUUGUCAACCUCCAUAACACUGAAAUGUUCCUAUUUAAUCUGAAUCCCAGAAAAAUGGGCAUGAGACAACUCCUAUGUGUUUGAUAUUUUUCUGUCUUAAUGGAUUCACUUCUACAGCAAUGCAUUUGAAAGAAAAUGUCUAGCUAGAUCUCUGAUUAUUUUUUGCUAAAUUUUUUGCUCCAAGUAUAUAAAAGCAAACAAGUGGGGGAAGAAAAGCCAUACUCCUUAGGAGUUUCUGAAGAGAACAUACCAGUCAUACAGUUUUCUAACAGUUUUUCUUAUGUAAAGCAAAUUAUAAAAUAAACAGUAUCCACAAAUAUGUAAUAAGUCAUAAUUUUGGAUGAAGGUAAAACUAUUAUAAAUACUUUAAAAAGUAAUCAAAAUCUCAAAGGAAAAAAAAAGUUAUUUUCUUUAAUUCCUAUAUAAGAAAUUAAAGGUUGAAUUUUUUCAGUUAGGUCUGAUAACUUAUAUCUCCUUACCAGAACCACUUCUAAAGUGUUUAUUGAUUAAUAUAAUUUUAACAUUCUGAGGAGCAAAAUAUGCCAAUUACAGGUAAGAUUUUUCCUUCAAAAUGCAACACAGGCAUUUUUUGAAUGUAUAGGUUGAGCCCACUAAAUCUUAAAACACAUUGCUUGGAUAGUGUGGGAAAUGUUUCCAAGGGAAGGAACAUCAAAAAUAGCAUUUUAACAUUAACUAGUUAGUACCCUGGCUACCAGAGAACCUCUGGUUUUAAUACCUAUUAAGUUGAAAUAUAUUAUUACCAAAAUAAAAUUUUAUAAGGUCCAAUUGGAGUAAGACUUUUUUAAAAGUUUCUAUUUUAAUCUAUAAAAUACUCAUUUUAUUUUUUGAUCCUAAGUCCUAACUUAUUUUUUAAAUUACAAUGCUACAGUAUAAUAAUAUUACAAAUAGCUGAUCAUUGUGUGCAUUCAAAAAUAGUUAUAAAUUUUAAAUAAUGAGACAGGCAUCAUAGUAGUGGAAAAACACACACAAACACACCCAAAGUUCCACUGACAUUCAACAUUGAAAAAUGAGUGGGUAAUUUUUUCACUGACAGAACUGUGCUGUUGUUAAUGUUAUUACGGUAAUAUUUGCAAAAUAAGCUUCCAAGGAAACAUUAAAACUAUACCACAGAAAACAAAUAUUAGGUUAGUGACUUUCUAGUUCUUUCCCCUUGAAUUUUCAGUUCAUAUAAAUACAGGCAUUAAGACAAAAGUAAAAAGUUGUAUCUGUCCUUUUAUUUUUCACUAUAGCCAUUAGCUUCAUAGGUCCAAAUCCUGUAAUGUGUUUAGAAAUCACCCACAUGUGAAAAAAAAAAAAAAAAAAAAAAGAAAUCACCCACAUGUGAUGAAUGUUAGUGAGAUUGUCUAAGCUAUGUCUGAUGCCAUCUAGCCAAAAAGUAUAUGAUAAAAUAGCCAGUUUUAGAGGAUUCUUAUACUAAAGAAAAUCACUCCAUAACUCCUAUAUCUAGGAUAGCUUUGUAUUUUUAAUAUAGAAAACUGAAUCAUUUCCAACAUAGGCCUGAAUAUCUUAAAUGUUAAUGCUUUGUUUUCUGUAAUACUAAGACUUUAUAUGAAAAAAUUAAAGAUUAUUUCCAUACUGAGAAGUCAUCAGAAGUACGGAUAGGGAUAUAUCCAAUGCUUUUUAUUAGAAAGAUUCUAUUGAUUACUACCUUCAAGGCUAGGGGAGAUCUAAUUCUAUUUUUAGACCUAACAUUUUAUAACUCAUGCUUUUUAUUAAUACUUUAAAAUGUUACCUAAUUCAAAUAUGCAAAACAUUCAUUGACAGUCACUAGGAACUAUUAAAGGAAACAGAUACUUUUUUUGGAAGCAAAUGUUAGUUAUAAUAUUCAAAUGUGAAAGGUCUGAAGAAAGUUAUAAGAAUAAUUCAACUGAAAAGGCAAUUUGGCUAUUUUAGUGGCAAGCUAAACAAAGAUAAGAAAGCCAUCCCAAGCAAAUUUUAGAAAAAUGUCUCCAAGGUUAAUUAUUAAAUCUAUUUUCACAUACGCCUGUGAAUAAGCAAUCUGAUUUAUAAAAAUGAAUGGAUAUUUCUAUAGUGGAAAAUAUUUUAAGACAAUAUAAGAAUACUGAGACAUUUUUUAUACCAAGUUAAGAGAUUCAGAGUAGUGCCUAGACUUCUGUAUAUUUAUAGAAUAUCAUGGAUAAGUCUGAUCUGCAAUCUCAAGAAACACUGGCUUAGGAAAUGGUAGAUUCAAAUUAUAUAAGCUACGGACAACAUUUUAAUAUUGAAAUGAUGACUGAUAAUACUAUAUUGUUGUUGGAAUAAAUGGCAUUGGAAAAAGCACCAGGAUUCUGAUAUAGGAAAGCUCUUCAGAACAAUUUUCCAGAUGGGGUCAAAUUUAAAGCAAAGCAAACAAUGGGUAUAUAUGAUAAAUGAGUCAGGCAAAAAGAAUAUUGAGAACAGAUAUUUCUGAGAGUGAUAAAAAUAUUUAAGACUGGCCACAUACUGGGAAAGAACGGAGUCAGCUGAUGAAAGGACAGUAAUUAGGACAAGUCUGGAUGAUGGGGAAACCAACAGAUUAGAUUUGAAAAGAAAAAAAAGACUUUCAUUUUUUAUAAAUCAGUCAAAAAUUAUAUCUUACAGAUAGUUAUGUAAGACAAUUGUAUUGACAUAAACAGACAACCUUCAUUCACACACCCUAUGACAGUACAUGUUAUAUAUUAUUUAACAUUUAUAUUUAAUAUAGUUCAUGCACUUGUAUCUUUUCUUUGGAAAGGUGAUAAAUGCUACUCAUUUUGUAAAUGUAAAUAUAUAAAAGGAGCUACCUUCUUUAAACUUAACUAAAAGAUUUCCAUAAGUGAAUUCUUUAGUAACAACAAUAAAAAUAUAUUUAAAGGCAAAGCCAUGUAUCUAUUAUCAUUAAAUAAAAAUCUGGUAUUCAAGUUAAAAUUUCUCUGCCUACUCUUAUUCAAGUAAAAUAUAAAAACUCUUAGGUUAAGACUCAACUUUCAAAUCUAAAUUCUAAUUAAUUAUGAGGGUACACUUACUCCUUCAGACGCAUAAAAUAGAUUUUCAAUAACAGUUCUUUAAGGUAAUUGUUAUAUACCUUACACAGAGAAAAAAGGGAAGUCUCACUGAUGUUCCUAGCUAAUGACAUGAAUAUGUGGCAUUUCCUCUCCUAUAAAAGGAUGUGACCUAAAAA